RNAcentral lists this non-coding RNA (30 nucleotides) under Rattus norvegicus (Norway rat). The record is from RNAcentral. Lineage: Eukaryota; Metazoa; Chordata; Mammalia; Rodentia; Muridae.
UCCAAAUGAGGUCUCAUUCGUAGGUGCCAG